GACAGAGGGUGCAACCGUUGUUCGGAAUUACUGGGCGUAAAGCGCGUGUAGGCGGCCCUGCAAGUCGGAUGUGAAAUCCCACGGCUCAACCGUGGAAGUGCAUUCGAAACUGCAGGGCUAGAGUCCUGGAGAGGAAGGUGGAAUGCUUGGUGUAGAGGCGAAAUUCGUAGAUAUCAAGCGGAACACCGGUGGCGAAGGCGGCCUUCUGGACAGUGACUGACGCUGAGACGCGAAAGCGUGGGGAGCAAACAGG
This 253-nucleotide ribosomal RNA is filed under the name uncultured bacterium. RNAcentral's name for it is "partial 16S ribosomal RNA". It matches the Rfam family "Bacterial small subunit ribosomal RNA", at positions 524 to 776 of the family's 1533-position model. The record is from RNAcentral.